Molecule: long non-coding RNA, 1871 nt
Filed under: Vigna radiata
Lineage: Eukaryota; Viridiplantae; Streptophyta; Magnoliopsida; Fabales; Fabaceae
Description: long non-coding RNA (VRAD_LNC006637)
Source: RNAcentral
GCUUCAAGGUGAACGGGCAUAGACUGAAGCCUUUCCUCAGCAAUCCUUCUUUGUUGGAUGCAGUGGUGGAGGAGACGUCUUUGGUCCACCCCACCUACCUUCCUAUCUGACUCAGGGAGUUUCUUUUCUCCUUCCCUCCUCACUUUUAUUGCACUUUGUCUGUAUCUGAUGAUUGUUCUGAUUGUUGAUCUGUUGAUUGUGACACACUGAGGACAUUGUGUCGUUUAAGUGUGGUCUAUUAGGGGAGGUUGUUUUUUUGUUUAGAUUUCGUUUUCUAGUGAAUUUUGUUGAGUCUUGUGUACAGUUUUGCAUGCUUUUUGUGAAUUCUGGACUGUGAUUAGGUUGCUAGUUUCCCUUCACUGCAUUGAUACUCUGUUUUGUUGGACUCCUUGCUCUUCUUUGCUUGGAAGAUAAUCAUGAUGUUUGAGAGUUGGAUUAAUUGUGACCGAUUACUUGUGUGAGAUUUGAGCCAUUUGAUGAUCUUUCUUGUGUGUGAUAUGUCUCUGGAUUGCUUGCACAUUUGCCUUGGCUUGACUCUGUUGAUAAUUCUUGAUUCAUGAGCAUGUUUGAAAAUGAUAAAGGCAUUUUGUUGAUUGAGCCUCUCUAGCCAGAUAGCCUACCUUGUUAUGAUAUCUUUGUGAGCCCCCUUGAGCCUAUACUUCCCUCAUUUCUUUGUUUUGAAGCUCAUACAAUAGCCUAAGUGAAAAACCAUGAUUACCUGAACCUUAGGGAAUUUUGGAGCUUUGGAAUUGUUUUGGGCAUAAGUGUGGUCUCUUUAGAGUUGCAGAUGAAAUGGCUAGUGAGUCCUCUUCUUGCGGUUGCAUUAUAAAUAUCAUGUAUCUUGUCUCUUAGAGUUGUGUUCUGAAAAGAGAGAAAAGAAAAGAGACAAGAUGAAAAAAAAAAAAGAAAAAAAAUACAGAAAAAUGAGAAAAAUUAAAAAAAAAUUGUGUGAAUAAUGGAGUUAAGAAGAGGAUUGAAUUAGAGGUUUUGGGUGUGAUUUGACUGUGUUUACACUUGUUCCCCAUUGCUCCUCUAUUCCUUUUGGUUUAUAGCUUCUUAUCCAGAUGUAUCCUUCAUUGUCCUUGGCCCCAUUACAACCAUGAAAAGACCUUUUGAUUUGAACAUGCAUAUGUGUUUGAGUGUUGAUAUUAGAGGCUUGCCAAGUCUAUCUGUGUGUGCUUUCUUGAGUGCAUUGAGUGACAUUGAUUUACCUUAAACACUUGAGAGAGACACUGAUUGUGUGCAUCUGUGAGGCUCUGUUGCUCUUGAUUCAUCUCUUGAACUGAUUGACUGUUUUCCAUGAACUGAAUUGUUUGGAUGAUUCUGUGAGUAUUUGCUUUCAUUGCUUUUGUGUUGGAUACUGUCCACUUCCUUUCAGUGUCCAGAUUUUGUGAGAAUUGUGCAGCUCUGUUUCUGUUUUGUGAGUCUUUGUUGUCUAUCUAUCGAGUCUGUGUCACCUCCCUGAUGUUUGAGUAGUUCCAUGGUUUUCGUCUUGGUUUUGCCCAGGAGUGCAAAAGACUAAGUGUGGUCUAUUUUGAUGAGUGGUUACUUCUUGAACUACAUUUAGUUUAUUGCACUUAAAUAAACCAGGGAGUUGCGUUUAAUUGUCUGUUAUUUCCCCGUUUUCCGAAUUCUGCUUAAUUUGGUCGGAAAUUUGUAAUUGUGCUAAUUUGGGUUUUCUGAGCUGAUUAAGUGUAUUUUGGUUGCAGGGAAAUUUUGGGAAACAUCAAUUGGAGCAUUAGGGAUGGUGGCAUAAGAUUUCUGAUUCCCCUAAGAAGUUUGGAGAGGACCUUCGUCAACUUGUCUAAUUUUUGGCUGAGAAGGUGAUUCUGAGUAGCUGCAGCAUCUUCAGCCGGAAGAUGUAAGAGUCC